RNAcentral lists this transfer RNA (77 nucleotides) under Pelagibacteraceae bacterium BACL5 MAG-120705-bin12. Its description in RNAcentral is "tRNA-Arg". It matches the Rfam family "tRNA". Rfam says of the family: Transfer RNA (tRNA) molecules are approximately 80 nucleotides in length. RNAcentral also lists the same sequence under 4 other names. Lineage: Bacteria; Pseudomonadati; Pseudomonadota; Alphaproteobacteria; Candidatus Pelagibacterales; Candidatus Pelagibacteraceae. The record is from RNAcentral.
GCACUUGUAGCUCAAUUGGAUAGAGCGACUGACUACGGAUCAGUAGGUUGAGGGUUCGACUCCUUCCAAGUGCACCA